This 406-nucleotide ribosomal RNA is filed under the name uncultured bacterium. RNAcentral describes it as "partial 16S ribosomal RNA". It matches the Rfam family "Bacterial small subunit ribosomal RNA", at positions 30 to 526 of the family's 1533-position model. The record is from RNAcentral.
AUUGAACGCUGGCGGCAGGCCUAACACAUGCAAGUCGAGCGAGCGGCGGACGGGUGAGUAAUGUCUGGGAAACUUCCUGAUGGCGGGGGAUAACUACUGGAAACGGUAGCUAAUACCGCAUACCAUCAGAUGUACCCAUAUGGGAUUAGCUAGUAGGUGGGGUAAUGGCUCACCUAGGCGACGAUCCCUAGCUGGUCUGAGAGGAUGACCAGCAACACUGGAACUGAGACACGGUCCAGACUCCGACGGGAGGCAGCAGUGGGGAAUAUUGCACAAUGGGCGCAAGCCUGAUGCAGCCAUGCCGCGUGUAUGAAGAAGGCCCUAGGGUUGUAAAGUACUUUCAGCGGGGAGGCGUUACCGGCAGAAGAAGCACCGGCUAACUCCGUGCCAGCAGCCGCGGUAAUUC